This 75-nucleotide transfer RNA is filed under the name Acidobacteriota bacterium. RNAcentral's name for it is "Acidobacteria bacterium tRNA-His". It matches the Rfam family "tRNA". Rfam says of the family: Transfer RNA (tRNA) molecules are approximately 80 nucleotides in length. Their secondary structure includes four short double-helical elements and three loops (D, anti-codon, and T loops). Lineage: Bacteria; Pseudomonadati; Acidobacteriota. The record is from RNAcentral. RNAcentral also lists the same sequence under 1 other name.
GUGGGCGUAGUUCAGUGGUAGAACGUCUGACUGUGGCUCAGAAGGUCGCGGGUUCAAUUCCCGUCGCCCACCCCA